Molecule: ribosomal RNA, 366 nt
Filed under: Triticum aestivum (bread wheat)
Lineage: Eukaryota; Viridiplantae; Streptophyta; Magnoliopsida; Poales; Poaceae
Description: partial small subunit ribosomal RNA
Source: RNAcentral
AUGGAUGGCGGGGCGAAAGGGCCAAGACCUGCGACUGAUUUUGCGGCGCAUCAGCAGCAAGCAAUGGCGGGCCUGUACGUGCCAGUGGAUCUACAUAAGGUGUCGGCGCAGGGCUGGCACUGCGGCCAGGUGACGUCGCUACCGCCGCCCAGCACCAUGCAGAGCUGCCGCGCGAGCCGGCCCACGCCAACGCGCGAGAAGUACUCGCCGCUGCCCUGCCCGACGCCGGACACCACGGCUCCUGUACCUCUCUUGCCGACGCCUCGAAGACCGGCGUGGUGUUGGCCGGCUUCAGGUCGGCGCGGGAGAUCGCGUCGGCGGCCCGGGGAGUCGCGGCGUAGGCGGGGGAGCACGUGGGACUUGUAG